This 2825-nucleotide small RNA is filed under the name Pongo abelii (Sumatran orangutan). RNAcentral describes it as "retained intron". The record is from RNAcentral. Lineage: Eukaryota; Metazoa; Chordata; Mammalia; Primates; Hominidae.
AUUGUAGAGCCUUUAGAAAAAUACAGAAGAACACCAAGUAGAAACUAGCCUUCUAGUCUUUAUAGAUAUCAAUUCAACAGUUGUUAUUAAAUUUUGAGCUCAAAUAAUAUGUCUUGUUCUGGGUUCACUGUGACCACCGUGAUAUUGUUUAAAUUCCAUCCAUGCAAAUUUCAUGUUUUCGUUUGCAUCUCAUGGGCUGGUGAUUUCUGUCUUUCAGUCUUUUGGUUUUAUUUUUUAGAACGGGCCCCUCAUCAGUCUGAAUGAAAAAGAUACAAGGAGAUUCCGUUUCUCUUACUGAAUUGUAGAUUUUGGUAACAAUGGAUGGCAUUUCAUUUAUAUUAGUGUAGUGUUCUAGAAAGCCUUCGUGGGCAUUUUUGGUUUCGUAGCUGUUAGAUCUCUGGCUGUGGGGCCAGAUCCAGUUUUCUCAGUUUGACUUUAGAAGGUUUCGGCCAUCCCUGAUUUGAAGGAAAAGGGAAACUUAGGAUAAAGCUAUAACCUGGGGAACUGUGUUCUCUUUUUUACAGAAAGACUUUUUAUCCAUCGAGCUGUUUCACGGCAGAGUGAAGGUUAUGACUGACCUGGGUUCAGGACCCCUUACCCUUUUGACAGACAGACGUUAUAACAAUGGAACCUGGUACAAAAUUGCCUUCCAGCGAAACCGGAAGCAAGGAGUCCUAGCAGUUAUCGAUGCCUAUAACACCAGUAAUAAAGAAACCAAGCAGGGUGAGACUCCGGGAGCAUCUUCUGACCUCAACCGCCUAGACAAGGACCCGAUUUAUGUGGGUGGAUUACCAAGGUCAAGAGUUGUAAGGAGAGGUGUCACCACCAAAAGCUUUGUGGGCUGCCUCAAGAACCUGGAAAUAUCCAGAUCAACCUUUGACUUACUCAGAAAUUCCUAUGGAGUGAGAAAAGGCUGUUUACUGGAGAAUCGGAAUGGCUGGUAACAUUUGCCACCACGAACAGCAGUGGCAUCAUCCUGGCUGCCCUCGGCGGGGAUGUGGAGAAGCGGGGUGAUCGUGAGGAAGCACAUGUGCCCUUCUUUUCCAUCAUGCUGAUCGGAGGCAACAUUGAGGUACAUGUCAAUCCUGGGGAUGGGACAGGCCUGAGAAAAGCUCUCCUGCACGCUCCCACGGGUACAUGCAGCGAUGGACAAGCGCAUUCCAUCUCCUUGGUCAGGAAUCGGAGAAUUAUCACUGUCCAAUUGGAUGAGAACAAUCCUGUGGAAAUGAAGUUGGGCCCAUUAGUAGAAAGCAGGACGAUAAAUGUGUCCGAUCUGUACGUCGGGGGAAUUCCAGAGGGAGAGGGGACAUCGCUGCUCACAAUGAGAAGAUCGUUCCAUGGCUGUAUCAAAAACCUGAUCUUCAAUUUGGAACUUUUGGAUUUCAACAGUGCAGUUGGCCAUGAGCAAGUCGACUUGGACACCUGCUGGCUGUCAGAAAGGCCUAAGCUGGCUCCCGAUGCAGAGGACAGCAAGCUCUUGCCAGAGCCCCGGGCUUUUCCAGAACAGUGUGUGGUGGAUGCAGCUCUGGAGUACGUUCCUGGCGCUCACCAGUUUGGUCUCACACAAAACAGCCAUUUCAUCUUGCCUUUUAAUCAGUCGGCUGUCAGAAAGAAGCUCUCGGUUGAGCUAAGUAUCCGCACGUUCGCCUCCAGCGGCCUGAUUUACUACAUGGCUCAUCAGAACCAAGCAGACUACGCCGUGCUCCAGCUGCACGGGGGCCGCCUCCACUUCAUGUUUGACCUUGGCAAAGGCAGAACAAAGGUCUCUCACCCUGCACUGCUCAGCGAUGGCAAGUGGCACACGGUCAAGACAGACUAUGUUAAAAGAAAAGGCUUCAUAACUGUUGACGGCCAAGAGUCCCCCAUGGUGACUGUGGUGGGAGACGGAACCAUGCUGGAUGUGGAGGGUUUGUUCUACCUUGGAGGCCUGCCCUCCCAGUACCAGGCCAGGAAAAUUGGAAAUAUCACCCACAGCAUCCCUGCCUGCAUUGGGGAUGUGAUGGUUAACAGCAAACAGCUGGACAAGGACAGCCCGGUGUCUGCCUUCACGGUGAACAGGUGCUACGCAGUGGCCCAGGAAGGAACAUACUUUGACGGAAGCGGAUAUGCCGCUCUUGUCAAAGAGGGCUACAAAGUCCAGUCAGAUGUGAACAUCACACUGGAGUUUCGAACCUCCUCGCAGAAUGGCGUCCUCCUGGGGAUCAGCACUGCCAAAGUGGAUGCCAUUGGACUAGAGCUUGUGGACGGCAAGGUCUUGUUCCAUGUCAACAAUGGUGCUGGCAGGAUAACAGCUGCAUAUGAGCCCAAAACCACCACUGCGCUCUGUGAUGGAAAAUGGCACACUCUUCAGGCUAAGAAAAGCAAACACCGUAUCACUCUGAUUGUCGACGGGAACGCAGUUGGCGCUGAAAGUCCACACACCCAGUCUACCUCGGUGGACACCAACAAUCCCAUUUAUGUUGGUGGCUAUCCUGCUGGUGUGAAGCAAAAAUGCCUGCGCAGCCAGACCUCGUUCCGCGGGUGUUUGAGGAAGCUAGCUCUGAUUAAGAGCCCACAGGUGCAAUCCUUUGACUUCAGCAGAGCGUUCGAACUGCAUGGAGUUUUCCUUCAUUCCUGUCCUGGGACCGAGUCCUGAACUUCAAGCAGAAUCCUCAUUUGGAAUCAUUGCUGAUAUUUUGAGGAGAAGUGUAUGUGUGAAUUAAGAAUCUCUUCAGUUCAUAUUUCAUUUCCAACUCAGGUUAAGUGUUUCUGGGGAGAGAUGUUGUGUUUACGUUACACUAAAACCACAUGUGCAACAAAUACCUCCAUUAAAUGAUCUAAAAUGU